RNAcentral lists this ribosomal RNA (301 nucleotides) under uncultured bacterium. Its description in RNAcentral is "partial 16S ribosomal RNA". It matches the Rfam family "Bacterial small subunit ribosomal RNA", at positions 509 to 809 of the family's 1533-position model. The record is from RNAcentral.
CAGCAGCCGCGGUAAUACGAAGGGGGCUAGCGUUGCUCGGAAUGACUGGGCGUAAAGGGCGCGUAGGCGGAUGGCACAGUCAGAUGUGAAAUUCCAGGGCUUAACCUUGGGGCUGCGUUCGAGACGGGUAUUCUAGAGUGGAGAAGAGGGUCGUGGAAUUCCCAGUGUAGAGGUGAAAUUCGUAGAUAUUGGGAAGAACACCAGUGGCGAAGGCGGCGACCUGGUCUUUUACUGACGCCGAGGCGCGAAAGCGUGGGGAGCAAACAGGAUUAGAUACCCCAGUAGUCCCUGUCUCUUAUAA